AUACGGAGGGUGCGAGCGUUAAUCGGAAUUACUGGGCGUAAAGCGUACGUAGGCGGUUGGAUAAGUUAGAUGUGAAAGCCCCGGGCUUAACCUGGGAACUGCAUUUAAAACUGGCGAACUAGAGUUGAGUAGAGGGGAGUGGAAUUUCAGGUGUAGCGGUGAAAUGCGUAGAGAUCUGAAGGGACACCAGUGGCGAAGGCGACUCCCUGGACUCGAACUGACGCUGAGGUACGAAAGCGUGGGUAGCAAACGGGAUUAGAAACCCUAGUGUCC
RNAcentral lists this ribosomal RNA (273 nucleotides) under uncultured bacterium. Its description in RNAcentral is "partial 16S ribosomal RNA". It matches the Rfam family "Bacterial small subunit ribosomal RNA", at positions 523 to 796 of the family's 1533-position model. The record is from RNAcentral.